RNAcentral lists this ribosomal RNA (498 nucleotides) under uncultured bacterium. Its description in RNAcentral is "partial 16S ribosomal RNA". It matches the Rfam family "Bacterial small subunit ribosomal RNA", at positions 30 to 523 of the family's 1533-position model. The record is from RNAcentral.
AUUGAACGCUGGCGGCAGGCUUAACACAUGCAAGUCGUACGGUAACAGGUCUUCGGAUGCUGACGAGUGGCGAACGGGUGAGUAAUACAUCGGAACGUGCCUAGUAGUGGGGGAUAACUACUCGAAAGAGUGGCUAAUACCGCAUGAGAUCUACGGAUGAAAGCAGGGGAUCGCAAGACCUUGUGCUACUAGAGCGGCCGAUGGCAGAUUAGGUAGUUGGUGGGAUAAAAGCUUACCAAGCCGACGAUCUGUAGCUGGUCUGAGAGGACGAUCAGCCACGCUGGGAGUGGGACACGCCCAAGACUCCUACGGGAGGGAGAAGGGGGAAAUGUUGGAAAAUGGGCGAAAGCCUGAUCCGGAAAUGCCGCGUGAAGGAUAAAGGCCUGCGGGUUGUAAACUGCUUUUGUACAGAACGAAAAGCCCUGGGUUAAUACCCUGGGGUCAUGACGGUACCGUAAGAAUAAGCACCGGCUAACUACGUGCCAGCAGCCGCGGUAA